UUGGGCUGUAAAUACCACUGCCUGUCUUCCCUGAAGACUUCAAUGGGCCCUGAACAUGUUGUUAGCGCGAAGGACACACAAGGCUUCCCUUUGACUGCCCUGGCCAGCAUCCCCGCCACACCCAGGCCCACAGGAAGGUCACCCGCCCACCCUCUGCCGUGCCUUCCCUCCGCCGCCAAGCCCCAGGACAACUGCUCUCAGCAAGGUCUCUGACUUCACCCCACAGGACAGGCGCAUGCUCCCAGGGAUGCCGAGGCCCUUCACCCUCUCCUCCAGGCCAGUCUCACUGUGCAAGUGCCCCACGGCAACUGCAGUGAAGCACCCAUGAACCAGCCAGGAAGAGGCCCCCACCAGACCAAACCACACAGCCACCCUGGACCCCAGCUCCCAGAAGCACGGGGAAACAAACAUCCGUUGCCUAAACCCCAGGCUGACAUCUUGUCACAGUAGCCAGAGUGGACUCAGGUCCACAGCGGAGUCGAGGAAGGCUUCCUGCAGAGCCAAUGUGGCCAUCCUUGGGGGAGCCAGGCCGGGCCAACCCCUCUCCCACCACACAGCAGCCUGGCUGCAAAUGCGGGAAGCUUCUUGGGGACUUCAUGGCUCCACUGCAGGCACAGAGGCCAGCCUGGAUGAGAGACCAGGCACCCUCCGCAGUCCAGCCAGGGCCCUGGAGCAGGGCAAAGAGGCAGAAAGAUCACGGGUACUGAGCCCCAGAUUUCCGCUGCCCCUGCUGCCCUGGCAGAGGAAACAGAGAACAAGGCCCCCACCCACCCAGCUCCCACCCUGGGGGCAGCUUGGAAGUGGGGAUCUCGGCCAGGCUCUGAAUGACAGAAACCAUCAGGACAUGGAAAAACAAGACCUAUAAAGAAAUACACAUUUUAUACAUCAGUUUAAUUAAAGUACAUUAAAAUGAGUUUGCUUAAAUAAAAAAAAAAAUUA
This 939-nucleotide long non-coding RNA is filed under the name Heterocephalus glaber (naked mole-rat). RNAcentral describes it as "lncRNA (ENSHGLG00100032963.1)". The record is from RNAcentral. Lineage: Eukaryota; Metazoa; Chordata; Mammalia; Rodentia; Bathyergidae.